RNAcentral lists this ribosomal RNA (492 nucleotides) under uncultured bacterium. Its description in RNAcentral is "partial 16S ribosomal RNA". It matches the Rfam family "Bacterial small subunit ribosomal RNA", at positions 30 to 507 of the family's 1533-position model. The record is from RNAcentral.
AGUGAACGCUGGCGGUAUGCCUAACACAUGCAAGUCGAACGGCAGCACAGUAAGGGCUUGCUCUUACGGGUGGCGAGUGGCGGACGGGUGAGGUAUACAUCGGACUCUACUUUUUCGUGGGGGAUAACGUAGGGAAACUUACGCUAAUACCGCAUACGACCUACGGGUGAAAUCAAGGGAUCUUCGGAUCUUGCGCGGUUGCACGAGCCGAUGUCGGAUUAGCUAGUUGGCGGGGUACCGGCCCACCAAGGCGGCGGUCCGUAGCUGGUCUGAGCGGAUGUCCACGGACUGUGGGACUGAGACACGGCACAGACUCCUAGGGGAGGCAGCGGUGGGGAAGAUUGGACGAAGGGCGGAAGCCUGAUCCAGCCGUGCCGCGUUGGUGAAGAAGGGCUUCGGGUGGUAAAGCCGUUUUGUUGGGGAAGAAAAGCAGCAGGAGAAAACCACGCUGUUGUGACGGUACCCAAAGAAGAAGCACCGGCUAACUUCGUG